This 200-nucleotide long non-coding RNA is filed under the name Elaeis guineensis (African oil palm). Its description in RNAcentral is "long non-coding RNA (EGUI_LNC072752)". The record is from RNAcentral. Lineage: Eukaryota; Viridiplantae; Streptophyta; Magnoliopsida; Arecales; Arecaceae.
GCCUUGGCAGCUACUCCCUGACCUCCAUCAGUACUUGGGUUUUUGAAGCAUUGAGAGGGGCGUAGCUGUGGAAUCUUCCUGGGGGAGAGCUUCAUUGAACUCUGCGGUUCGGGUUUCUCUACCUACGAGCCUGGGGAGGAGUCUGGACACGCUUGUGUCCAGGGAGAGUUCGAGAACGUGGUCAAGCUUCACGCAGCCCC